GAUGAACGCUGGCGGCGUGCCUAAUACAUGCAAGUCGAGCGAAUGGAUUGAGAGCUUGCUCUUAUGAAGUUAGCGGCGGACGGGUGAGUAACACGUGGGUAACCUGCCCAUAAGACUGGGAUAACUCCGGGAAACCGGGGCUAAUACCGGAUAACAUUUUGAACCGCAUGGUUCGAAAUUGAAAGGCGGCUUCGGCUGUCACUUAUGGAUGGACCCGCGUCGCAUUAGCUAGUUGGUGAGGUAACGGCUCACCAAGGCAACGAUGCGUAGCCGACCUGGGAGGGUGAUCGGCCACACUGGGACUGAGACACGGCCCAGGCGCCGGCGGGAGGCAGCAGUAGGGAAUCUUCCGCAAUGGACGAAAGUCUGACGGAGCAACGCCGCGUGAGUGAUGAAGGCUUUCGGGUCGUAAAACUCUGUUGUUAGGGAAGAACAAGUGCUAGUUGAAUAAGCUGGCACCUUGACGGUACCUAACCAGAAAGCCACGGCUAACUACGUGCCAGCAGCCGCAGUAA
This 515-nucleotide ribosomal RNA is filed under the name uncultured bacterium. RNAcentral's name for it is "partial 16S ribosomal RNA". It matches the Rfam family "Bacterial small subunit ribosomal RNA", at positions 28 to 523 of the family's 1533-position model. The record is from RNAcentral.